AGGGCUGUGUGCCAAUCUGUAUGGCUUCUCUUUGAAUCCCAGGGCCUAGCCUGGCCCACCUCAAGCACUGUUUUUUAGGUGGCGUUGGGUGGCACCAUGAGGGAUUCCCAGCAGGGGGAGUCCAUAACGGCUGAGGAGACAUGACAGAAGACAGCCAGAGCAGGAAGCUGAGAGAUCACAUCUUCAACCACAAAGAGGAAGCAGAAAGAGGGAACUGGAAGUGGGACGAGACCUUGAACACUCAAAGCCCAGCGCGAGUGAGUAAUCACUUCCUACAGCAAGACUCGGCCUCCAAAAGAUCCUGCAACCUCCCUAAGCAGACCACCAACUAGGACCAAGUGUUCAGAUACAUGACACUAAUGAGGACAAUUCUCAUUCAAACCAUCGCACCAGUCACCAUCCAUCCAUUCGCCCACUCAUUCCUUCUUUAUUUACCUUCAUUCAUUCAUUUAUUUAUUCAAUUUGGUGAGUUGUCUGCGAUGUGUCCGGCACUGUUCAAGACAGUGAGGACAUCAGAGAGUGAAAGAGCAGCCUGAUGGCAUCCUCACUGACUGGGCCCAGCCUCCUCGUGCCCAGGCCUCACUCAGGCUCUCCCUCCCCCAAGCAUCCCCUCUGUCUUAGGUACUUAGUUCUGCUGUGAUGGGGAAGCACCAUCAUGGUGGGCAUGGCGCUGGGGGAGUGGCUGCGGACUCACAUCUUAUCCACAAGUUGCAGGCAGAGAGAAGGAGACUGAGCCUGCUGUGGGCUUCUGAAAGCUUACAGCCCUCCCUCAGUGGCACACUGCAUCCAGUGAGGCCACACCUACUCCAGCAAGGCACUUCCCAUCCUUCUCAAACAGUUUCUCUGACUGGGAACCAAGCAUUCAAACAUAUGAGCUGUGGAGACCGUUCUCAUUCAAGCCAGCACACCCUCCUCCCUUCACCUGUUCCUGCUUAGACCCCCCACUCCUCUGAGGUCAGCUCGUGUGUCCAGAGCCUUCCUUGGUGUCUUUCUCAGCACUCGACACCCUGGACUUCUCUUCACAGUCCCAAGGAGGCUCUCCGCUGUCUCCUCAGCCGGUGCUCUCAAUGUUAGCUUUUUUAAAUUUUUAAAAAAUAGUUCACCCAUUGUAUCUUUUGUGCGUGUGGACACGUGCAUGCCAUGGCAUACAUGUGUAGACCAGAGGAAAACUUGGGGAUGUCAGAUCAAACUCAGAACAUCAGGCUUGGUGGCCAGCUCCGUCACCCACUAAGCCGGCUUGUCUUCCUGGAAAGAACUGAUGAACUGUAUUACUUACUUUUCCACUAAGUCGAGUAGGAUGAAGGUGGCCAGCUCACUCUCUAUUUCCUGGUUCCCAUUCCUCACACCCAGUGGCAAUAACACCCAAGGUCCUCUAAUAUCCCAGAAGCAUAUAAAAUCAAGGCUCCAGAUUGAGACCCCAAAUAACUUUCAGAUUAACCCAGCCACUUCCCGUCUGUGAGGGUGGGUCUGGUACUUGCCUUCUAGGACCGUCCAUUUUCUCACUUGUCAAAUGCAGCUAAGGAUUAAACCAACAAGUAUAACCACUAGUUUUGACAACACUAAAUACUAACCGUGAAAGCAUCUCAGCUCUACCACUGAGCCCUAGUCCCUCACCAGGGAGUUCUAGGCAGGAGCACUACCACUGAGCACACCCUCAGCCCCUUACCUGAGGGUUACUAGACAGGUACUCUACUACUGAGCUACAUCCCCUGCCCUCACUGGGUAACUAGGCAGGCAGGACUCAGGAUAAUUUAAUUUAAUCUUCAAAAUGAUGUAGUAUCUGAUUUUGUAAUCAUCAGGGCUGGAAUAAAACUGUUAGUAAAGUG
This is a long non-coding RNA of Peromyscus californicus insignis, 1826 nucleotides long. RefSeq lists it as uncharacterized. The record is from RefSeq and is a predicted model, not a curated record. The transcript has 2 exons. Lineage: Eukaryota; Metazoa; Chordata; Mammalia; Rodentia; Cricetidae.